AUCUUUCUAGUACAACUGUUAGUAUAAGUGACUUCCAAUCACCCGGCCUUGGUUAGAAUCCAAGGAAAGAUA
RNAcentral lists this transfer RNA (72 nucleotides) under Lampadena atlantica. Its description in RNAcentral is "tRNA-Gly". It matches the Rfam family "tRNA". From Rfam's summary of the family: Transfer RNA (tRNA) molecules are approximately 80 nucleotides in length. Their secondary structure includes four short double-helical elements and three loops (D, anti-codon, and T loops). Lineage: Eukaryota; Metazoa; Chordata; Actinopteri; Myctophiformes; Myctophidae. The record is from RNAcentral.